UACGGAGGGUGCAAGCGUUAUCCGGAUUUAUUGGGCGUAAAGCGAGCGCAGGCGGUUAGAUAAGUCUGAAGUUAAAGGCUGUGGCUUAACCAUAGUACGCUUUGGAAACUGUUUAACUUGAGUGCAGAAGGGGAGAGUGGAAUUCCAUGUGUAGCGGUGAAAUGCGUAGAUAUAUGGAGGAACACCGGUGGCGAAAGCGGCUCUCUGGUCUGUAACUGACGCUGAGGCUCGAAAGCGUGGGGAGCAAACA
RNAcentral lists this ribosomal RNA (250 nucleotides) under uncultured bacterium. RNAcentral describes it as "partial 16S ribosomal RNA". It matches the Rfam family "Bacterial small subunit ribosomal RNA", at positions 524 to 774 of the family's 1533-position model. RNAcentral also lists the same sequence under 1 other name. The record is from RNAcentral.